GCGCCUGGUCUUAUUGCCUUUGGCUUGAGCCGAGUGUGGCUAGUAGCGUUGGACUGAGACUUUUCAAAUGGAAACUUAUUUAUUUAAAAUAAAGAGCGGGUAUUGCCAACAGCGCUUAUUCACCAUCAACAACUUCUAUAUGAUAUUCUAUAUGAUAGAAGCCCUGAGGAUUAAAUAGAAUACUAAUAUAAUAGUAGUAUGCCCAUAAUCUUAGUAGGAGGGGUUAGGCAUAUCGCUGCCAUUAGCACAUUAACAUGUGAAUUCGUAGAGCGGAUCUUUCCGGGUUCAGGACUUUUGUAUGCUGGGGGAAUGCCCCCAAGCCACUAUUCUUUUAGUUAGCCUUACUUCCUUGACUCUAACCAAUCCCAACUGUCGAAUGAAAGAACCCCUGCAUCUACCAGGAAAGAGGCAAGAUCUGAUUUGAUAACAACUCUGUGCAUAACAGCUGAUUUGUCGAC
This 458-nucleotide long non-coding RNA is filed under the name Capsicum annuum. RNAcentral's name for it is "long non-coding RNA (CANN_LNC017173)". The record is from RNAcentral. Lineage: Eukaryota; Viridiplantae; Streptophyta; Magnoliopsida; Solanales; Solanaceae.